AUCUUCCUUUUGGCUCUGAUGUUACCAUGGAAGAUUCUGUGGAUUUCACCAAAACUAUUUCUAGAUCUGAAACUAUGGCAGUCUUGAAAACUGUUGGACCCCUUCUCACUGUUCUUCCCCCCAAGCACUCCUCCCCCCUCCUUACUAACCAUGCCUCUGCUCCACCUCGUAGCUUCACUUCCUCCUCUCUCCCUCCCCCUCCGUUGAUGCCUUCCCUCCCACCUGUCCCUCCACGCUCUACUGAAGCUAUGCGCCCCGCUAUUCCUUCAGCCUCCACAGAAACCCAGAACCCCGACCCUCCUACUAACCACACUAAAAAGACUAAUACCCACUCUAAACCCCUACCUCAUCAAUC
RNAcentral lists this long non-coding RNA (355 nucleotides) under Brassica napus (rape). RNAcentral describes it as "long non-coding RNA (BNAP_LNC025699)". Lineage: Eukaryota; Viridiplantae; Streptophyta; Magnoliopsida; Brassicales; Brassicaceae. The record is from RNAcentral.